GUGCCACAAGCUCAGUGGAGCCCAUUCUCCAAAAGGAAAAGCCGCCGCUGCAGCUGCAGCAGGUGAAGAGAUGAUCAGACAGUGAGGGAGCUCAGCGUUAUUUAUGGACUCAAAGUUUGGAGAAACAAACUACAUGUGUCUACCGAAUAUACACCAAUGCAAGUGGCGUCUCUCUCUCCUCUCCAAAGAGCUUGACACGCAUCCGACUCCGCCUCCUGGCGAUUACAGAAUGUCCGCGUGGGAUUGCAGGUAUUCCGCAUAAUUUGAAUCAUUUGUGGCGAGCACUUUAUUGUAAUAUGAGAACACA
This 307-nucleotide long non-coding RNA is filed under the name Sinocyclocheilus anshuiensis. Its description in RNAcentral is "lncRNA (ENSSANG00000024606.1)". The record is from RNAcentral. Lineage: Eukaryota; Metazoa; Chordata; Actinopteri; Cypriniformes; Cyprinidae.